GUGGAUUAGAUACCCGGGUAGUCCACGCUGUAAACGAUGGGCACUAGGUGUGGGGGGUGUCGACUCCCUCCGUGCCGAAGCUAACGCAUUAAGUGCCCCGCCUGGGGAGUACGGCCGCAAGGCUAAAACUCAAAGGAAUUGACGGGGGCCCGCACAAGCAGCGGAGCAUGUGGUUUAAUUCGACGCAACGCGAAGAACCUUACCUGGGCUUGACAUGUGCCUGACCGACGUGGAAACACGUCUUCCCUUCGGGGCAGGUUCACAGGUGGUGCACGGCUGUCGUCAACU
RNAcentral lists this ribosomal RNA (288 nucleotides) under uncultured bacterium. RNAcentral's name for it is "partial 16S ribosomal RNA". It matches the Rfam family "Bacterial small subunit ribosomal RNA", at positions 773 to 1060 of the family's 1533-position model. The record is from RNAcentral.